AUGAAGGAUGAUGAUCUUGUUGGAUUUGCUGAUCCAAAUACGGUCAGUGACAAUGAUGAGGAUAAUGAAAUCGCUAGUAUUAAAAAGAAGAUUUCCAAGAAAUCUGGAGGGUUUCAAUCCAUGGCUCUUAGUUUUCCAAUACUGAAAGGGAUCCUCAAACGUGGAUACAAAAUACCCACACCUAUACAAAGAAAGACUAUACCAUUGGCUCUCGAGGGAAGAGAUGUAGUAGCAAUGGCUAGGACAGGUAGCGGAAAGACUGCUUGCUUUUUAAUUCCUCUGUUCGAAAAACUCAAGGCAAGGCAAGCAAAAACGGGUGCACGUGCAUUGAUACUAUCGCCUACACGUGAGCUGGCACUGCAGACAUUAAAGUUCAUAAAGGAGUUAGGAAGAUUUACAGGAUUAAAAUCAGCAGUGAUACUGGGAGGCGACAGUAUGGAUAAUCAGUUUAGUGCCAUUCAUGGAAAUCCUGACAUCAUUGUAGCUACUCCAGGUAGACUUCUGCAUAUAUGUGUGGAGAUGGAUCUGCAGUUGAAAAAUAUCGAAUACAUUGUUUUUGAUGAGGCUGAUAGAUUAUUUGAAAUGGGCUUUGGAGAACAGAUACAAGAAAUUGUAAAUAGAUUACCAGAAUCACGUCAGACAUUAUUGUUUUCUGCUACUUUGCCUAAGAUUCUAGUAGAUUUUGCAAAAGCUGGUCUAAGUGAUCCAGUUUUACUUCGUUUGGAUGUUGAGAGUAAGCUGCCUGAAGGAUUGACAUUAUCUUUUAUUACGUGUCGCCCUGAAGAGAAAUUAGCUGUACUUCUAAACUUACUAAAAAGAAUUAUUAAGCCCGAGUCGCAAAUAAUUAUAUUUGCGGAAACUAUGCAUCAUGUAGAAUAUAUUCAUCAGAUAUUAGAUAAAGCUGGUAUAUCUAACACUUUCAUUUAUUCAAAUCUGGAUCCUUCUGCGCGUAAAAUAAACGCAGCUAAAUUUCAAAUCGGUAAAGUAAGAGUUCUCAUAGUGACAGAUGUUGCCGCUAGAGGAAUAGAUAUACCACAUCUCGACUAUGUAAUUAAUUUUAAUUUUCCUGCAAAAUCUAAACUUUUCGUACACAGAGUAGGGCGAUGUGCUCGAGCUGGACGUGUUGGAACGGCAUAUAAUAUUGUGAGCUCGGAUGAAUAUCCUUAUCUCUUAGAUUUGCAUCUCUUUCUUGGUCGACCUUUAACAAUAGUGCCAACUACAGAAACCGAUGAAAGUAUGGAAUGUGCUGUCGGAAAAUUGCCACAAGCCAUGGUAGAGGAAGAAUUAGCUGAAUUAAUAAAUUGGCACAAUACUUCUACUGAUCUGAUAAAUAUGCGAAAAGUAUGCAACAACGCCUAUCAGCAAUACGUUAGAUCGCGACCAAGUGCUUCGACAGAAAGUGUCAAAAGAAUUAAGGAGCUUCGCAUAAAUGAAGCCGGAAUUUUACCCCAGUAUUCUGAUGCUUCUCACAUUAAUACAGCGGAUAUAAUAUCCAGGAUGAAAAACUAUAGACCGCAGGGAACGAUAUUUGAAAUUGGUACGAAAACAAAUUCAACUGAUUAUCAAGUGAUGAAAGCAAAACGAAUGUUUCACAAGGAAAAUAUUCUUAAUUUCCGUAAAAAGAUGGAAGAACAUAAAACCGAUAAAAUUAAUACGGCAUCAGAAUUAUCUCAAAAAGUCGAACUACCAUCCAGCAACACGGAAGAAAUUAAUGCUGCAUUCAGAACAGUGGUAGUUCCAAAGAAAAGAACUAGUGACGAUUUAUACAAACUUUCAAAGAAGAAGAAACGUUUAACGAAACGGGAUGAAGAAUAUUAUAUACCUUAUUCUGCACCAGAUAAACAUACAGAGGAUGGUUUAGCAGUUAACACAUUUGCCACUGAAGCUGAUAAGGCGCAGAUGGAUUUAACAGCAGAUAAUGAAGACGGUCACCAUCUUCAAACGCAACUGAAAAAGUGGGAUAGGAAAAGAAAGAAGAUGGUCACCGUCGAGAGGGACUCGAAGACGAAAAAAAUACGUACUGAAUCGGGAGUAUGGAUACCUGCUACAUAUAAAACAAAUCGUUAUAAUGUGUGGAAAGAGAAGAGUAAAAUCGAUGAAAACGAUAGCGAAGAUGAUAGUGAGGAAGAACCUUCACAACAGAAAAAUUUACGAACUACUGUAAAUACGCAUUGGGCGCGGCACAACCAGAAGCUUAAAGACAAGAUUAAAAUAAAGAGCGAGCUGAAGCGACCCGAACAAAUCUUGAAGGCACGCAAACUUCUGGAGAAAAAACGCCAAAAAAAUGGCAGAAAAAGAAAUAAAGGUCAAAAGAAUCGUACAAGGAAACAUUAAAACAUUUUCAAUGUUUAAAGUAUAUUAUCAUUAUAAUACAGUUUAUUUUAUGCAUUGGUUUCUCUCGGUUAAUUACCACUUCUCCUCUUGCGCUAUUCCCAUUACUCAUAUUUGCUAUGUAAUCAACACGACACGCUAGAAUGGAGAAACGAGUGAAAGCCAGAAGAUACUACACGUAGUAGAAAUAGACGUUUGGCCUUGCAUCAUCAUCGUCAUAACAACAUAGUUGCACAAUUGUGGGGCCUCCCGUAAGGCAAGGUAUUACGAAGACUUCGCUAGACGCUUGCCUUCGCGCGAAGCCUUAAGAAAUUUCCGCAUCAUCGA
Molecule: RNA transcript, 2658 nt
Organism: Trachymyrmex cornetzi
Lineage: Eukaryota; Metazoa; Arthropoda; Insecta; Hymenoptera; Formicidae
Gene name: ATP-dependent RNA helicase DDX54
Exons: 12
Source: RefSeq, a predicted model, not a curated record